GGCCCAUUGGUUCUCCCUACGAACCUCCUCCUCUUCCUCGGGUGUAAAGUCGUUCUUGAUGUUAAAUGUCUUGCGGAUCUCCUCAGGAGUCUUCCCCUUGAUCAUGUCAGCCACCGUCUGACAAGUCAAAUCAAGCAAGCUUUUGAUGUUGAGGUAGUUUGCAGCCAGAAUGAGAUCGAAUAAGGUAGCCUGGUCGACUUUGACGAAUUCGCUGUCCCAAGUCUUGAGGUCGUCGUCAACGGAGCCAGUACGAUCCUCCGGCUUAGGGGACUCGACAUGCUUCUUGCAGUACUCGAUAACCUUGGACAAGAUCUUGCUGUUGACGUUAGGAAGGGGAAUUCCACUAUCGGCGCAAUCGUCUUCGAUCAUGUGCUUGAUCGUCUGUGACUCCAAGGCCACCGCUUCGUCGACCUCGAAGAUCUCGCCGUCGGAGCUCUUCAAGGUGAUUUUCCGGCCAGAAGACAUGGCGGCGUGUUUCGGUUUCUAGAGGAUUCGGUGAGGUCUGAAAACCCAGAGAGAAGCUUUGCGAUUUGCGAAAGAGAAAGAAAAUGUUAGAAUCUGAC
RNAcentral lists this unclassified non-coding RNA (563 nucleotides) under Hevea brasiliensis (rubber tree). The record is from RNAcentral. Lineage: Eukaryota; Viridiplantae; Streptophyta; Magnoliopsida; Malpighiales; Euphorbiaceae.